AGUCCACCACCUCUACCCUCUUAACUCUUCCUUAGAAAUCCUACUGUCUGCAGCUGGGAAUGAAUGGAAUGAAGGUCAAGGAUGAAGAUCUCACUCUGUUACCCAGGGUGGAGUGCAGGGGCAUGAACACGGAUCACUGCAGCUUCGACUUCCUGGCUCAAGCAAUCCUUCCACUUCCUGGCUCAAGCAAUCCUUCCACCUCAGCCUCCUAGUAACUGCAUCCUGGGCAAUAUCCCCAGCUGAAAGAUUACGCUUCCCAGCCUUCCUUGCAGCUAGACGUAGCCAUAUGACAAAAUGACGCCCAAUGAAGCAUACAUAGAAAAGUCAUGUGAGACUUCUGGAAAAGCUUCUGUAAAAGUGAGGAGCAGACACCCUUUUCUUUUUCUUCUCCUUUCUCUUGCUGUUGGCCUGGAAUGUGGACCUGAUGGAUGGAGCUCUGGCAAUCAUCUUGGAGUAUGAAGUGACCUUAAGGAUGAACAGAAAAGAAAAUGAGCCUGGGCCUUUAAUGACACAGUGGAGCUGCUCCCAGCUUGGCUACCUUCCUCUUAGUCUGCUUUUAUAAGAAAAUAUAUAUAUAUCUUGUUUAAGCACAA
RNAcentral lists this long non-coding RNA (593 nucleotides) under Homo sapiens (human). Its description in RNAcentral is "HSALNT0298158". The record is from RNAcentral. Lineage: Eukaryota; Metazoa; Chordata; Mammalia; Primates; Hominidae.